CAAGAGCGUAUGUAAAAGUUGUUGCAGUUAAAAAGCUCGUAGUUGAACCUUGGGUUUGGUUGGCCGGUCCGCUUUUUUGCGAGUACUGGAUUCAACCGAGCCUUUCCUUCUGGCUAACCAGUCGUUUCGGCGGCUGGCGAACCAGGAUUUUUACUUUGAGAAAAUUAGAGUGUUCAAAGCAGGCAUUGGCUUGAAUAUAUUAGCAUGGAAUAAUAGAAUAGGACGUUAUGGUUCUAUUUUGUUGGUUUCUAGGACCAUCGUAAUGAUUAAUAGGGACGGUCGGGGGCAUCAGUAUUCAGUUGUCAGAGGUGAAAUUCUUGGAUUUACUGAAGACUAACUACUGCGAAAGCAUUUGCCAAGGACGUUUUCAUUAA
Molecule: ribosomal RNA, 374 nt
Filed under: uncultured eukaryote
Lineage: Eukaryota
Description: partial 18S ribosomal RNA
Rfam family: Eukaryotic small subunit ribosomal RNA
Source: RNAcentral